UUUUUUUUUUUUUUUUUUAACAAAUAUUGAUUUAGGGGCAGCCCAAGUGGCUCAGCAGUUUAGCGCCGCCUUCAGCCCAGGGUGUGAUUCUGGAGAUCCAGGAUCGAGUCCCACGUCGGGCUCCCUGCGUGGAGCCUGCUUCUGUCUCUCUCUCUCUCUCUCAUGAAUAAAUAAAUAAAAUAUUUAAACAAACAAACAAACAAACAAAUAUUGAUUGCAAAAAGGAUAAGUAGUAGCGCCUGGGUGGUGCAGUUGGUUAAGCAUCUGAUUGUUGAUUUUGGCUCAGAUUAUGAUCUCAGGGUCGUGAGAUGGAGCCCCACGUGGGCUCUGCACUCAGCACGGAAUCUGCUUGAGAUUCUUUCUCAUUCUCUCUGCCCCUCCUAUUUGUACACUUUCUCUCUCUAAAAUAAAUAAAUAAAUCUUCAAAAAACAAUUUCAAAAAUAAAAAAGUAAAUGAAAUGAACUUCAGGCCAGGUAGGGGCUCUUAGAAACAUUCUCUUAAAAUUUUUUUUUAUUGAAAUACAAUUGGCAUAUAACAUUGUGUAAGUUUAAGGUAUGCAACCUGUUGAUUUAUUUUUUUUUAAAGAUUUUAUUUAUUUAUUCAUAGAGAUGCAGAGAGAGAGAGAGGCAGAGACACAGGCAGAGGGAGAAGCAGGCUCCAUGCAGGGAGCCUGACGUGAGACUCGAUCCUGGGUCUCCAGGAUCACACCCUGGGCCGAAGGCGACACUAAACUGCUGCGCCACCAGGGCUGCCCCAACCUGUUGAUUUAACGCAUUUAUUAUAUGUAUUGCAAUAUGAUUACCACCAUAGCGUUACCUAACACCUAUCUCAUGUCACAUAAUUAUCAUUUCUUUUUUGUGGUGGGAACAAUUAAGAUCUAGUCUCUUAGCCACUUCACAGUUUAUAAUAUAAUAUUAUUCAUAAUAACUAAGCUGUGCAUUAAACCUUAAGAAUUAUUUAUCUACUAGUUGCAAAUUCGUAAAAAGCUUCAGCUUUUAUAACAUUAUAGGCAUAAAUACAAUUUAAAACUAUAUAAACAUGGGACAUUAUUUUCCAUAAAGGUCCCAUAGAAACUACACAAAAAUUUGAUGUUCUAAUACCUUAGGAAUGGAAUGAACAAGUCCCAGAGGAAAUACAGGUGACUAAUAAACAUUUAAGUGUUUAUUCCUACAAGUAAUCAAAGGAAAGCAAGUUAAAACUGCCAUUAAAAGCUGAAAAGGUUAAAUUAAGGCAAGUUUAAAACACUUUAUUAUGAUUUAAGUUAACAAACUUGUUUUUGAUGGAAGUCAUAUGUAGCUGAUAGGAAUGUAAACAGGGAAAAAUUUCUAGAAAGCAACUUGCAAAAUACAUCAGGAGCCUAAAAAUGUUCUAUUCUUUGACCUGGAAAUUUCACUUCUAAGGAGAUUAACAGACUGAUUUCUGUGCAAGGAUGUCCAUAUGUUCACUAUUCAUAACGGCAAAAUAACUUGAAGCAGCUGAAAAUACGCAAAUAAACGAUGAUGCCACCGUGAAAAAAAAAAAAAAGAUAUGCCGUAAGCAUAAAAUGCAUCCUGGGUUUCUUUCUUUCUUUAAAAUAUUUUAUUUAUUUUGACAGAGAGAGUGAGAGAGCACAAGCAGGGGGAGCAACAGAGGAAAAGGUAGAAGUAGACUCCCCACUGAGCAGGGAGCCCGACAUGGGGCUCCAUCCCAGGACCCUGAGAUCAUGACCUGAGCCAAAGGCAGAUACUUAACCGACUAAACACCCAGGUGCCCUGUGUACUGGGUUUCAAAGACUGGGUGGUUCAGUUGGCUGAGCGAUCAAUUCUUGACUUCUGCUCAGGUCAUGAUCUCAAGGUGAGGAGAUCCUCUCCAGACUGAGCUUGGAGACUGCUUAAGAUUCUCUCUCUUUGGGACAUAUAUAUAUUAUAUAUAUAUUGGUUAUAAUAGGUUAAAUAAAUUGGGUUAAAUAACAUGAUUAAAAUGGAUUUCAUCUCUUUUUUAGUGUGGCUACUAGAAAAGUUAAAAUUCCAUAUGCAACUAGCAUUUGUGGCUCACAUUUGUGGGUUGCACUACCUUUCUUUCUUUCUUUCUUUCUUUCUUUCUUUCUUUCUUUCUUUCUUCCUUCCUUUUUCUUUCUUUCUUUCUUUCUUUCUUUCUUUCUUUCU
This 2145-nucleotide long non-coding RNA is filed under the name Canis lupus familiaris (dog). RNAcentral's name for it is "lncRNA (ENSCAFG00000051226.1)". Lineage: Eukaryota; Metazoa; Chordata; Mammalia; Carnivora; Canidae. The record is from RNAcentral.